Long non-coding RNA from Pecten maximus, 1090 nucleotides. RefSeq lists it as uncharacterized. The record is from RefSeq and is a predicted model, not a curated record. Lineage: Eukaryota; Metazoa; Mollusca; Bivalvia; Pectinida; Pectinidae. The transcript has 2 exons.
UAAAUAGUUGUAUGAUUGGAAGUGGCACCUGUCAGUGCCAAGCACCGAGGACCUGAUCAUGAGAGACCAGUACCUGUUCCCAGGAAAACUAUCAGAAGACAUCAACCCCCGACUUGGCAAACCUCGGGUGAAUUUGCUAUGCGCCAGACCCCAGUGACACCAGAUUGGAUGUCAAGGGCAAGCUACCUGCAGGAAUUGGCCAAGGAAGGGAAUCUGGACAGAAUGCCAGAGAGAAUAUUGGAUUCUCUUUUGACCAUUGUAAGUGGGUCAACAUGAUGUUUUAUUUGUUAUUUUAGUAGUACAUGUAUGUUGUUUUUAUCCAUUUUCUUGUAGGUGUGCAACAUUGAUAUCUCCGUCACAACAAUGACACGGAGGUCAUUCAUCUGUGAGGGGGAGUGUGUCACAGGGUUAUAUUUUAUGUAAAAUCAUUGUAUGUUAUAUUUCAUGGAGUGUGCAUCUUUAAUGUACUGUUGGUAUUUGUUUGGUGUGAGAAACCUUAAUAGGAAUGAAAGGAAUGUGAGUAUGUAUGACAUGUGACCUGACAUGGACAAUUUCAUUGGACAGUUUUUACCUGUAUUGCAUGUUUUUAAUCCUCUUAGUAUUUCAAAUCACUUCUCUUCUGGCGCUCUAGCUGAAAACAAUCUGUAGAAGUCAGAGCCUAAAUUAUAUUGAAGAUCUGCUGGUGAUUACUUGUGAAUCUGGUUGGUGGUAAUGAAUAAUGUUCCGGAAACCUCCGCAUGAUAUGUGGGGGUUUUAUUAAUGGAUAAUAAAACUACCAUGAACAACAAAGUGGCAUUGGAUUAUAUAUACCCACACCUGUAACAUUUCUAGUAUCACUGGCGAGUUGUAGAAGGACGAAACAGAUGUAUGAUGUCUCUAGUAUCACUGACGAGUCCUAGAAGGACGAAACAGAUGUAUGGUGUCUCUAGUAUCACUGCCGAGUUGUAGAAGGAUGAAACAUGUGUAUGAUGUCUCUAGCAUCACUGACGAGUUGUAGAAGGACGAAAUAGCUGUAGGAUGCAUUCAAUUAAUUUUGAAUGUAUUGUAUCUGUAUCAAACUCACAAUUUGUAUUAAAUGAUGCUAAUAUUG